Mustela erminea (ermine) is the source of this 502-nucleotide long non-coding RNA. RefSeq lists it as uncharacterized. The transcript is spliced from 3 exons. The record is from RefSeq and is a predicted model, not a curated record. NCBI's taxonomy places the organism in Eukaryota, Metazoa, Chordata, Mammalia, Carnivora, Mustelidae.
CUCACCUCCUGUCUUCUAAAGAUAGAGUAUCCAUCUUGCUGAUAGUCUACCAGGCUUUUGCUGUUAGAGUGAAAUCACAAUCUCCUAAGGACCACAUCUACUUUGAAAGAUUCUGACUGUUUAAGAAUUAUCUGAGACUUCUAGCUUGAAAUCAGACAUCGUAAGAACUUGAAAGCCAUCACUUUCAUCUUUAAAACAAGAAAAAGCUGGACAAACCAAAAACCAGUGACUUCUUUUGGACCCAUCAGAGAACUGAGAUCAAAGAGCCAACUAUCUCCUUGAAGUCUGGGGAGAUAGGAGCAUCCAGAGUCAUAUCCGAGAUUUGCUUACCUGGAACAGAAGCCACUGGAACCACAAACCGUAUAUCACUUCAAUUCAUCAAAUCUGUCAGCCAAGCCGCUAGGAAUCUGAUCUAAAAGCUGUCAUCUUUGAUCUAAAAGCCGUGAGUGUGGUGGUGUUUGGCAGACAGUAUGGUAUAGUGUGGGCCUGAGCUAGCAGAGUG